This 320-nucleotide ribosomal RNA is filed under the name uncultured eukaryote. Its description in RNAcentral is "partial 18S ribosomal RNA". It matches the Rfam family "Eukaryotic small subunit ribosomal RNA", at positions 1470 to 1796 of the family's 1831-position model. The record is from RNAcentral.
CCCCUAGAUGUUCUGGGCCGCACGCGCGCUACACUGAACAGUUCAACAAGUCUUAACCUUGGCCGAUAGGUCUGGGUAAUCUUUGAACGCUGUUCGUGAUUGGGAUAGACCUUUGCAAUUAUGGGUCUUCAACGAGGAAUUCCUAGUAAACUCAAGUCAUCAGCUUGCAUUGAUUACGUCCCUGCCCUUUGUACACACCGCCCGUCGCACCUACCGAUUGAAUGGUCCGGUGAAAUCUCGGGACGGCGGCUUGGUCGCUUGCGUCCGACUGCUGAAACUUGAUUAAACCAUAUCAUUUAGAGGAAGGUGAAGUCGUAACA